Molecule: ribosomal RNA, 375 nt
Filed under: uncultured organism
Description: partial 16S ribosomal RNA
Rfam family: Bacterial small subunit ribosomal RNA
Source: RNAcentral
GAACCGUCCAAACGUUUAUUCGGAAUUACUGGGCUUAAAGGGUGCGUAGGCGGCCCGGCAAGUUGGGUGUGAAAUCCCUCGGCUCAACCGAGGAACUGCGCCCAAAACUGCCGGACUCGAGGGAGACAGGGGUGAGCGGAACUUAGGGUGGAGCGGUGAAAUGCGUUGAUAUCCUAAGGAACACCGGUGGCGAAGGCGGCUCACUGGGUCUCUUCUGACGCUGAGGCACGAAAGCUAGGGUAGCGAACAGGAUUAGAUACCCUGGUAGUCCUAGCUGUAAACGAUGAGCACUGGGUUGGAGGGGCUCCCCAUACCCCUUCCCGAUCGUAGCGAAAGUGUUAAGUGCUCCGCCUGGGGAGUAUGGUCGCAAGGCUG